UAUUAACUUUUCCUCUCUUUUUUUCCUCUCUCUUUUUUUUUUAAUUUGCCUUUCCGGGGGGUCAAAAAUGUCUGCCCGGAUCGUGUCCAUUGUUCCCCUUGCUCCCCGGCACUGCGUUCAUCUCUCUGUCUUAUUCAAUCCAUCUCGUCUUGAUUCAAUUCCAUUCCGAUGUUUUUUUUUCUUUCCUUUUUAUCGGUAGUGAUUCUUUUUACAGUUGGUGAUGCUGUGUUUGAUUUCUUAUAAAUGGAUAUGUGGUUCUGUUAGGUUUGUCGAAGGAUUGUAUAAUUUGUUUACGACAUAUUCCCUUCGGUUUUUAAUACUCUCAAAAGUUCUUGGCUUUUGAUUAAACGGGCUUUUGCAAAUUUGCUAUUAU
RNAcentral lists this long non-coding RNA (373 nucleotides) under Oryza brachyantha (malo sina). Its description in RNAcentral is "long non-coding RNA (OBRA_LNC000078)". The record is from RNAcentral. Lineage: Eukaryota; Viridiplantae; Streptophyta; Magnoliopsida; Poales; Poaceae.